Long non-coding RNA from Prunus persica (peach), 895 nucleotides. RefSeq lists it as uncharacterized. NCBI's taxonomy places the organism in Eukaryota, Viridiplantae, Streptophyta, Magnoliopsida, Rosales, Rosaceae. The transcript is spliced from 2 exons. The record is from RefSeq and is a predicted model, not a curated record.
CAGAACUGGGAGAAAAAGCAAAAAAAACAAACAAUAAAAAGAAGCAAAAAGAGUUAACAGAGUUAAGUGGUGUUAAGUGGCUUGCCACAUGUCACGAAACUAGCAGGGAAACAGGAGGCCACAGGAACUUUGGUAACAGGUAAACAGGACUCAUUGAGAGGGGCGAUAGCAUACUAAACUCACACACACUAUGCGGAUGCUAGGACUCGAAUCCAAGACCUUGUCUGAGGGAGUAAAUACUCCAAACCACUACACCAAUGGGGUCAUUUGCAAAAAGACCCUUAUUAUUCAAAACAAAACAAAUGCGUUUUUCUUGAAUUUUUUUUCUCUUGUCGUUGGAUCUGCUGGUUCGCUCUGUGCUACUGGUUCUCACUCAAGCUAGCUUCCAUGGGAGAAGCUUGAAGCUCGCGUGCUCUCUCUCUCUCUCUCUCUCUCUCUCUCUAUCUUUUCGUCCAUCUCUCCUCCUCGCUCUCAUCAGUUCAAACCCUAGAAAUUGGGGAUUUUGAAAUCAAAUAACCACCUUGUUCCAAGGGCUUUCAAGGUUGAGAGGUACAAAGACAAAGAAAUAUCUGGGGUUGAAGCUGAAAGGGGAGAUUCUAGUGGAUCCAAAGAUCUCGGCCGUUGUAGCAAGGUUUGACGACAAUCAUCUCUCUUUCUCAUUUUACAAUAUGAUUGGUUGCUGAGAGCAUUUAACAAUCUCUCUUUCUCACUUUAUUUUUAUUCAGUAUCUUGUUCUUUGAUUUUAUAAUUAGACGUAUGCUUAUGAAUGGGCAGAUUUGCUUAUGAACAGUUCUCAAUUUCUUCUAUUUUACUCUCUUAUGAAACACUUAAACCGCUGUUAUGUUUUGUCUCCUUUUGAUCAUUGUGUAUACCCAACUGUGCACUUAUUGAUGUA